UUAAGGUCAAAUUUGCUAGGCGAAAGUGGAAACCUCCACGGGAGGAGUUGACAAAUUAAAGCCCAGUACAACUGAACUAGUGGCGUAUUCAAUUGGUUGCUUUUUCUUUUCUUUGCUAUGUAGCUUUAUGUUAUACUUUAACUAAUUGUUGACUAACUUAUGAACAGUUUUGAAUGUCUUCACAUUGGACUUUAAGAAAGUACUCAAGCACGAGGCCACUAGCUUGCUCCUUGUUCAUACUGCUCUUCUUUCCAAGCCGUUAUCAUAUGCGUCAUUCCUGGA
This 282-nucleotide long non-coding RNA is filed under the name Gossypium barbadense (sea-island cotton). RNAcentral describes it as "long non-coding RNA (GBAR_LNC015037)". Lineage: Eukaryota; Viridiplantae; Streptophyta; Magnoliopsida; Malvales; Malvaceae. The record is from RNAcentral.